GUAACGAGCGCAACCCUUGUCCUUAGUUUACCAGCACGGUUAUGGUGGGCACUCUAAGGAGACUGCCGGUGGACAAACCGGAGGAAGGUGGGGAUGACGUCAAGUCAUCAUGGCCCUUACGGCCUGGGCUACACACGUGCUACAAUGGUCGGUACAAAGGGCCGCCAAGCCGCGAGGUGGAGCUAAUCCCAUAAAACCGAUCGUAGUCCGGAUCGCAGUCUGCAACUCGACUGCGUGAAGUCGGAAUCGCUAGUAAUCGUGAAUCAGAAUGUCACGGUGAAUACGUUCCCGGGCCGUU
RNAcentral lists this ribosomal RNA (298 nucleotides) under uncultured Pseudomonas sp. RNAcentral's name for it is "partial 16S ribosomal RNA". It matches the Rfam family "Bacterial small subunit ribosomal RNA", at positions 1089 to 1382 of the family's 1533-position model. Lineage: Bacteria; Pseudomonadati; Pseudomonadota; Gammaproteobacteria; Pseudomonadales; Pseudomonadaceae. The record is from RNAcentral.